GAUGAACGCUGGCGGCGUGCCUAAUACAUGCAAGUCGAGCGAACGGACGAGAAGCUUGCUUUUCUGAUGUUAGCGGCGGACGGGUGAGUAACACGUGGAUAACCUACCUAUAAGACUGGGAUAACUUCGGGAAACCGGAGCUAAUACCGGAUAAUAUUUUGAACCGCAUGGUUCAAAAGUGAAAGACGGUCUUGCUGUCACUUAUAGAUGGAUCCGCGCUGCAUUAGCUAGUUGGUAAGGUAACGGCUUACCAAGGCAACGAUGCAUAGCCGACCUGAGAGGGUGGUCGGCCACACUGGAACUUAGACACGGUCCAGACUCCUACGGGAGGCAGCAGUAGGGAAUCUUCCGCAAGGGGCGAAAGCCUGACGGAGCAACUCCGCGGGAGUGAUGGAGGGCUUCGGAUCGUAAAACUCUGUUAUUAGGGAAAAACAUAUGUGUAAGUAACUGUGCACAUCUUGACGGUACCUAAUCAGAAAGCCACGGCUAACUACGUU
RNAcentral lists this ribosomal RNA (497 nucleotides) under uncultured bacterium. RNAcentral describes it as "partial 16S ribosomal RNA". It matches the Rfam family "Bacterial small subunit ribosomal RNA", at positions 28 to 507 of the family's 1533-position model. The record is from RNAcentral.